GAGAAAGAGAAAUGUCAGGUUGAUAGAGAGCGGCCUCCUUCCCACUGCCUGGAGGAUGGAGAGACCAAGAAAGCAAGGCAGAAGGAACAGCACCCCUGGGCAAGGGGAGAGUGCUGGGCUGUGCCAAGUGUCUCAAGGAGCUAUUGGGGCCCUUCACUCACAACCACCCUAAACGCUGCAUGUGGGAUCCUGGGCAGGGUGAUUUACUGCAACAUGACCUGCACGUGUCUUUUGAGAAGCUGACGGGCUAGAUGCUGAGGUCUUGUUUUCCCAUCUGCUGGCAGCUCUGCAGAACCCCUGACUUCUGCGUGAGACACAGGAGCAUGUGGCGGUCACCUCAUUUCCUCUGCCUGAUGGACCAGAAGUACUGUGGCAGGUGUAUACUGAAGAAGCAAGCACAGAUUUUUCUUCAGAAUUAUCUUGGGAGUGAGCAGUUACUUGAAAGCAAGGCGAGAGGCUUGUGUUGGAGUAGCCACUCCCAGAAUAGCCGCUUUGCUCUGAUGGAUUUAUAAUAGCCACUUUAACCAGUGCCAGGAAAACACUGAACUUCAAAUGAGUCAUUUUUCCACAGCUGUGAAUAAGUUAGGAUGAACUUCAGAUAGGCACACUUUUUUUUUUUUUUUUUGAGAUACCACAACCACAGCAAAGCCUUGAGCCCCUUCACUUUCAUCCACAAGAAGUGGCCAUGCACAUCUUUCUUGGACUGGUAUACCUGAAGCUUUCUUAUUCUGCACAGGAGAAGCUACAAGAUAUUUUCUGGGAGAGUACUGGCUUUUGGUUACCUGUCUCUGCAUGACUCCACGCCCAGAUUCAAUGCUGGUGCAAAGAAAAGCAGUGCCACAGACAUAGGGCUGUGGCAUUGGGCAGCUGCAGGCAGAAGUAACCUGGAGUGUUACACACACUACUGAGGCUAAGGAACAAGCUUGCUGCAGUCACCAAAGCCUUCUUGCUCUCCUUCUUUCUACAUAAAAUGUCUGUAUACAUACACCUGGGCUUUCUGCGGCCCCAUUUCUUCCCGUCCAUGCCAUAAUGCCUUUCCCCACAUGCUUCCUUCAAUUAUGGUUCUCUUCCCCAUACCAAAGUCUUCCAAGGGUACACUCCACCUCUGCCCUUCUGUCUUUUGACCUUAAUUUUUUUUCACUUUUCUCAUUUUUCUUUUCUUUCUCCUUCAAAGUGACAGAAUUUCAGACAACAUUUGAGAAGACGGGCACUGCCUGGAAUGUGUUAAAAGCCACCAUCACCCAAUAGCUAUGGCGCUAUUGCUAUUCUGUCUCUAUUAUAUCCAUUGUGCUUUCCUGGUUUUCACCAAAAUCAGUGACUGAGUAUAGAACACGUCCUGAAAUUUUUACACUUUUCUCGUUUAGCUCUUGGGCUCAGGGACUCUCGUCUGGAUGGCACUCCCAGGCUUCCUGGGAUCUGCUGGUCACUAGGGUAUGCAUAGCAUGGACUUGCAGCUCUCAGUGCUGGAAGAGAAGGACAAAGACAUAACCACCACCUCCCUUUUUCUGCCCCAGUUGCCCAUACGUCAAGGCCUAUCUCUUUCUGAUCUGUACAUUCCUGGGAGUAUACUUAGCUGAAAAAUUAUACCUUUGCGUUAUGUGCUGCCCUUUUGAGUAUGGGAGACUCCUCUUCACUGACAGACAGCACCCAUUUUCCUCUUACAGCUGCUGCAGCCUGGCAGAGCUGAGGGGCACAUGCUGUGUUCUCGCACUGUGGCCCAACUUUGGCCUGUCCCGGGCUUUGCCUUUACCUGAAAGAGAAGGGCGUGCUUUGUUCUGCUAGCACAGAAGCGAGAGUCCUGGCAGUGAGAACAGACGGAGGCAUCACGCAAUCACAGCAACUGUAAAUAUGCCACGCUUCUUUUUAUUGUUAUGUCAUAAUCACAACGUUCCUUUAAUGUAGUUUGUUUGACUUCUGUGCUAAAAAUAAGUGGAUCUUGCUGUUUCCAGGACAACCACUAACCCGAUGGCUUAUCUCGGCGCCGCUCCUCUGUCAAAAGGAUGUUCUAAAAAGAGCUAACCAUGAAUAUUAAAAAUGAAGCAUGCACACAAUAAAGCAUUCCAUGGGAAGAGCCCCA
RNAcentral lists this long non-coding RNA (2077 nucleotides) under Struthio camelus australis. Its description in RNAcentral is "lncRNA (ENSSCUG00000000378.1)". Lineage: Eukaryota; Metazoa; Chordata; Aves; Struthioniformes; Struthionidae. The record is from RNAcentral.